RNAcentral lists this ribosomal RNA (473 nucleotides) under uncultured bacterium. RNAcentral describes it as "bacterial SSU rRNA". It matches the Rfam family "Bacterial small subunit ribosomal RNA", at positions 335 to 799 of the family's 1533-position model. The record is from RNAcentral.
ACUCCUACGGGAGGCAGCAGUGGGGAAUAUUGCACAAUGGGGAAACCCUGAUGCAGCCAUGCCGCGUGUGUGAAGAAGGCCUUCGGUUGUAAAGCACUUUCAGUAGGGAGGAAGGUAGUGUAGUUAACACCUGCACUAUUUGACGUUACCUACAGAAGAAGCACCGGCUAACUCCGUGCCAGCAGCCGCGGUAAUACGGAGGGGUGCGAGCGUUAAUCGGAAUUACUGGGCGUAAAGCGCAUGCAGGCGGCCUGUUAAGUCAGAUGUGAAAGCCCGGGGGCUUAACCUCGGAAUUGCAUUUGAAACUGGCAGGCUAGAGUCUUGUAGAGGGGGUAGAAUUUCAGGUGUAGCGGUGAAAUGCGUAGAGAUCUGAAGGAAUACCAGUGGCGAAGGCGGCCCCCUGGACAAAGACUGACGCUCAGAUGCGAAAGCGUGGGGAGCGAAACAGGAUUAGAUACCCUGGUAGGAUAGCG